This 447-nucleotide ribosomal RNA is filed under the name uncultured bacterium. RNAcentral describes it as "bacterial SSU rRNA". It matches the Rfam family "Bacterial small subunit ribosomal RNA", at positions 330 to 794 of the family's 1533-position model. The record is from RNAcentral.
GCCAGACUCCUACGGGAGGCAGCAGUGGGGAAUAUUGCACAAUGGGGGAAACCCUGAUGCAGCGACGCCGCGUGAAGGAAGAAGUAUUUCGGUAUGUAAACUUCUAUCAGCAGGGAAGAAAAUGACGGUACCUGACUAAGAAGCCCCGGCUAACUACGUGCCAGCAGCCGCGGUAAUACGUAGGGGGCAAGCGUUAUCCGGAUUUACUGGGUGUAAAGGGAGCGUAGGCGGUUUAGCAAGUCAGAAGUGAAAGCCCGGGGCUCAACUCCGGGACUGCUUUUGAAACUGUUGAACUAGAGUGCAGGAGAGGUAAGUGGAAUUCCUAGUGUAGCGGUGAAAUGCGUAGAUAUUAGGAGGAACACCAGUGGCGAAGGCGGCUUGCUGGACUGUAACUGACGUUGAGGCUCGAAAGCGUGGGGAGCAAACAGGAUUAGAUACCCUCGUAAA